CCUACGGGCGGCAGCAGUAGGGAAUCUUCGGCAAUGGACGAAAGUCUGACCGAGCAACGCCGCGUGAGUGAAGAAGGUUUUCGGAUCGUAAAACUCUGUUGGUAGAGAAGAACGUUGGUUAGAGUGGAAAGCUCAUCAAGUGACGGUAACUACCCAGAAAGGCACGGCUAACUACGUGCCAGCAGCCGCGGUAAUACGUAGGUCCCGAGGGUUGUCCGGAUUUAUUGGGCUAAAAGCGAGCGCAGGUGGUUUAUUAAGUCUGGUGUAAAUGGCAGUGGCCCAAGCAUUGAAUGCAUUGGAAACUGGUAGACUUGAGUGCGGGAGAGGAGAGUGGAAUUCCAGGUGUAGCGGUGAAAUGCGUAGAUAUAUGGAGGAACAUCGGUGGCGAAGGCGGCUCUCUGGCCUGUAACUGACGCUGAGGAUCGAAAGCGUGGGGAGCAAACAGGAUUAGAUACCCCAGUAGUC
This 465-nucleotide ribosomal RNA is filed under the name uncultured bacterium. Its description in RNAcentral is "partial 16S ribosomal RNA". It matches the Rfam family "Bacterial small subunit ribosomal RNA", at positions 338 to 795 of the family's 1533-position model. The record is from RNAcentral.